Molecule: unclassified non-coding RNA, 309 nt
Filed under: plant metagenome
Description: partial contains 5.8S ribosomal RNA, internal transcribed spacer 2, and large subunit ribosomal RNA
Rfam family: 5.8S ribosomal RNA (bases 1-105)
Source: RNAcentral
GAAAUGCGAUAAGUAAUGUGAAUUGUAGAAUUCAGUGAAUCAUCGAAUCUUUGAACGCACAUUGCGCCCGGGAGCAUUCUCCCGGGCAUGCCUGUUCGAGCGUCAUUUCAACCCUCGACCUCCCCUUGGGGAGGCCGGCCGUUGGAGAUCGGCAGCGAUUGCCGGCUCCCAAAUUCAGUGGCGACCCGCCGCGGGGACCCCUGCGCAGUAACAUACACUCGCACCGGAAACCAGACGUGUCACGCCGUAAAACCCCAACUUUCUGAACGUUGACCUCGGAUCAGGUAGGAAUACCCGCUGAACUUAAGC